GAAGCAGUAGCUCAAUCGUAGUGCUCCCGCCUUGUACGCUGGAAGACCUCGGUUCGAUUCCCGGCUGCUUUC
This 72-nucleotide transfer RNA is filed under the name Toxocara canis (dog roundworm). It matches the Rfam family "tRNA". Rfam says of the family: Transfer RNA (tRNA) molecules are approximately 80 nucleotides in length. Their secondary structure includes four short double-helical elements and three loops (D, anti-codon, and T loops). Lineage: Eukaryota; Metazoa; Nematoda; Chromadorea; Rhabditida; Toxocaridae. The record is from Rfam by way of RNAcentral.